RNAcentral lists this ribosomal RNA (665 nucleotides) under uncultured Mesotoga sp. Its description in RNAcentral is "bacterial SSU rRNA". It matches the Rfam family "Bacterial small subunit ribosomal RNA", at positions 145 to 811 of the family's 1533-position model. Lineage: Bacteria; Thermotogati; Thermotogota; Thermotogae; Kosmotogales; Kosmotogaceae. The record is from RNAcentral.
AACUGACCGAAAGGACAGCUAAUACCGCAUAAGUCCGGAAGGAGAAAGGUGCAAUAGCAUCGGCAGAAGAGCGGCCCGCGGUCCAUCAGCUAGUUGGUGAGGUAAGGGCUUACCAAGGCGACGACGGAUAGCCGGCGUGAGAGCGUGGCCGGCCACAAGGACACUGAGAUACGGGUCCUACUCCUACGGGAGGCAGCAGUGCGGAAUUUUAGAUAAUGGAGGGAACUCUGAUCUAGCGACGCCGCGUGCAGGAAGAAGGUCUUCGGAUUGUAAACUGCUGUGGUAAGGGAAAAAUGCUAUGUAGAGUGGAAAGCUACAUAGAGGGAUGGUACCUUACUAGAAAGCCCCGGCUAACUACGUGCCAGCAGCCGCGGUAAUACGUAGGGGGCGAGCGUUACCCGGAAUCACUGGGCGUAAAGGGAGCGUAGGUGGCCUAACAUGUCAACUGUGAAAACCCGGAGCUCAACUCCGGACUUGCAGUUGAAACUGGUAGGCUUGAGGACGGUAGAGGAAGACGGAACUGCCAGUGUAGGGGUAAAAUCCUUAGAUAUUGGCAGGAACGCCGGUGACGAAGGUGGUUUUCUGGGCCGGUUCUGACACUGAUGCUCGAAAGCCAGGGGAGCGAACGGGAUUAGAUACCCCGGUAGUCCUGGCCCUAAACGAUG